RNAcentral lists this ribosomal RNA (495 nucleotides) under uncultured bacterium. RNAcentral describes it as "partial 16S ribosomal RNA". It matches the Rfam family "Bacterial small subunit ribosomal RNA", at positions 28 to 507 of the family's 1533-position model. The record is from RNAcentral.
GACGAACGCUGGCGGCGUGCCUAAUACAUGCCAGUAGAACGCUGAAGGAGGAGCUUGCUUCUCUGGAUGAGUUGCGAACGGGUGAGUAACGCGUAGGUAACCUGCCUGGUAGCGGGGGAUAACUAUUGGAAACGAUAGCUAAUACCGCAUAAUAGUAGAUGUUGCAUGACAUUUGCUUAAAAGGUGCAAUUGCAUCACUACCAGAUGGACCUGCGUUGUAUUAGCUAGUUGGUGAGGUAACGGCUCACCAAGGCGACGAUACAUAGCCGACCUGAGAGGGUGAUCGGCCACACUGGGACUGAGACACGGCCCAGACUCCUACGGGAGGCAGCAGUAGGGAAUCUUCGGCAAUGGACGGAAGUCUGACCGAGCAACGCCGCGUGAGUGAAGAAGGUUUUCGGAUCGUAAAGCUCUGUUGUAAGAGAAGAACGAGUGUGAGAGUGGAAAGUUCACACUGUGACGGUAGCUUACCAGAAAGGGACGGCUAACUACGUG